This 305-nucleotide ribosomal RNA is filed under the name uncultured bacterium. RNAcentral's name for it is "bacterial SSU rRNA". It matches the Rfam family "Bacterial small subunit ribosomal RNA", at positions 333 to 654 of the family's 1533-position model. The record is from RNAcentral.
CUCUCCCUACGGGACGCAGCAGUGGGGAAUAUUGCACAAUGGGGGAAACCCUGAUGCAGCAACGCCGCAUGAAGGAAGACGGUUUUCGGAUUGUAAACUUCUGUUCUUAGUGAAGAAUAAUGACGGUAGCUAAGGAGCAAGCCACGGCUAACUACGUGCCAGCAGCCGCGGUAAUACGUAGGUGGCAAGCGUUGUCCGGAAUUACUGGGUGUAAAGGGAGCGCAGGCGGGAAGCCAAGUCAGCUGUGAAAACUACGGGCUUAACUUGGAGACUGCAGUUGAAACUGGUUUUCUUGAGUGAAGGAG